AAGUGGGCCAGUUUUGGUAAGCAUGGUGGCCAUAGAAGUCGGAACUCGCUAAGGAGUGUGUAACACCUCACCUGCUGAAGCAACUAGCCCCGAAAAUGGAUGGCGCUCUA
Molecule: ribosomal RNA, 110 nt
Filed under: Ixodes scapularis (black-legged tick)
Lineage: Eukaryota; Metazoa; Arthropoda; Arachnida; Ixodida; Ixodidae
Description: eukaryotic large subunit ribosomal RNA
Rfam family: Eukaryotic large subunit ribosomal RNA
Source: RNAcentral